UCUUAAUUCAUUUUUAUGUCA
Molecule: non-coding RNA, 21 nt
Filed under: Caenorhabditis elegans
Lineage: Eukaryota; Metazoa; Nematoda; Chromadorea; Rhabditida; Rhabditidae
Source: RNAcentral